Molecule: transfer RNA, 78 nt
Filed under: Candidatus Wukongarchaeota archaeon
Lineage: Archaea; Promethearchaeati; Candidatus Wukongarchaeota
Description: tRNA-Arg
Rfam family: tRNA
About the family: Transfer RNA (tRNA) molecules are approximately 80 nucleotides in length. Their secondary structure includes four short double-helical elements and three loops (D, anti-codon, and T loops). Further hydrogen bonds mediate the characteristic L-shaped molecular structure. tRNAs have two regions of fundamental functional importance: the anti-codon, which is responsible for specific mRNA codon recognition, and the 3' end, to which the tRNAs corresponding amino acid is attached (by aminoacyl-tRNA synthetases). tRNAs cope with the degeneracy of the genetic code in two manners: having more than one tRNA (with a specific anti-codon) for a particular amino acid; and 'wobble' base-pairing, i.e. permitting non-standard base-pairing at the 3rd anti-codon position.
Source: RNAcentral
GGGCCCGUAGCUCAGAUUGGAUAGAGCGCAUGCCUCCGGAGCAUGAGGUCGCGGGUUCAAAUCCCGUCGGGCCCGCCA